Heliocybe sulcata is the source of this 85-nucleotide non-coding RNA. The record is from the annotation of a GenBank genome assembly. Lineage: Eukaryota; Fungi; Basidiomycota; Agaricomycetes; Gloeophyllales; Gloeophyllaceae.
GCCCUUAUAGCUCAGUGGUAGAGCGCAUCACUCGUAUUCCGCUUCGGCGAUGAUGAGGUCCGUUGUUCAAUCCAGCGUGGGGGCA